UACGGAGGAUGCAAGCGUUAUCCGGAAUGAUUGGGCGUAAAGCGUCCGCAGGUGGCUAUGUAAGUCUGCUGUUAAAGAGUGAGGCUCAACCUCAUAAGAGCAGUGGAAACUACAUGGCUAGAGUGCGUUCGGGGCAGAGGGAAUUCCUGGUGUAGCGGUGAAAUGCGUAGAUAUCAGGAAGAACACCGGUGGCGAAAGCGCUCUGCUAGGCCGCAACUGACACUGAGGGACGAAAGCGUGGGGAUCAAACAGG
This 253-nucleotide ribosomal RNA is filed under the name uncultured bacterium. RNAcentral describes it as "partial 16S ribosomal RNA". It matches the Rfam family "Bacterial small subunit ribosomal RNA", at positions 524 to 776 of the family's 1533-position model. The record is from RNAcentral.